GACAGCAGUAGCCGCGGGAAUACGUAGGUGGCAGGCGUUAUCCGGAAUUAUUGGGCGUAAAGCGCGCGUAGGCGGUUUUUUAAGUCUGAUGUGAAAGCCCACGGCUCAACCGUGGAGGGUCAUUGGAAACUGGAAAACUUGAGUGCAGAAGAGGAAAGUGGAAUUCCAUGUGUAGCGGUGAAAUGCGCAGAGAUAUGGAGGAACACCAGUGGCGAAGGCGACUUUCUGGUCUGUAACUGACGCUGAUGUGCGAAAGCGUGGGGAUCAAACAGGAUUAGAUACCCCUGUAGUCCCUGUCUCUUAUAC
Molecule: ribosomal RNA, 306 nt
Filed under: uncultured bacterium
Lineage: Bacteria
Description: partial 16S ribosomal RNA
Rfam family: Bacterial small subunit ribosomal RNA
Source: RNAcentral